Molecule: long non-coding RNA, 761 nt
Organism: Suricata suricatta (meerkat)
Lineage: Eukaryota; Metazoa; Chordata; Mammalia; Carnivora; Herpestidae
Exons: 3
Source: RefSeq, a predicted model, not a curated record
ACUACUGGCCUUCUUUCUGAUGGCGAUGUGUCAGAAGGAUUAUCUGCUUCCAGACUGCUGUUCACCACAGGUAACGGAAAGCACGGAAAGUGAAACCAUGGAUCAAGGGAGAUUACUGUAAUGCUAUAGCAAAGAUUAUCAAAGACUCCUGCAGGGCAAAGAGCAAUUCUAUCCAUUUCUGCUGAUUAUGCAGAUCUACUGAUCUACUGUAUCAGGUUAAUCGUCCAUUUUCACACAAAGGUCUUAUCAACAUCAGCCUUAUUUAAAUGUGUUUAUUCCUCCAACCAAAUAAACUCAGGAUUAACACUAAUUUCCAAGAUGGGCAGAAAUGAAGUAAAGAAUCUGAGACUCUGGUGUCUCGAUUCCUUUAGGACAGAUGGCUGGUCUUGGAAGUAUUUAUAACCAGAUGACCACUGCUCUAUUCAAGAAUUACACUAUGCCACAGCCAACUUUUGAUUAUUUAUGUUAACUGAAGGCAGAAGCAUAGAUGAUCAAAACCAAUCUGCAAAUCACUUCUAAUUGGCUUUGAAAUGUCUAUUAAUUUUUUAAAGAGAUUUAUUUGAUUAUCUUUUCCUCGAGAUUAUAUGAAAAAUGACUUGUGUUCCCUGGGUCCAAGCCAAAUGAUGGGAGCAUAACCGGAAGCUGGACCCAUUCAACAUGGGCAUAAAAAUACACCACAAAUAAAAUGGAAAGCAGAAUAAUUAUAAGAGAUAAAUGAGAUGUGACUACGGGUAUUAAAAAUAAAAUAUUUGAAAGCAUGA